Molecule: ribosomal RNA, 643 nt
Filed under: uncultured bacterium
Lineage: Bacteria
Description: bacterial SSU rRNA
Rfam family: Bacterial small subunit ribosomal RNA
Source: RNAcentral
CGCGGCCUAUCAGCUUGUUGGUGAGGUAAUGGCUCACCAAGGCGACGACGGGUAGCCGGCCUGAGAGGGCGACCGGCCACACUGGGACUGAGACACGGCCCAGACUUCUACGGGAGGCAGCAGUGGGGAAUACUACACAAUGGGCGAAAGCCUGAUGCAGCGACGCCGCGUGAGGGAUGACGGCCUUCGGGUUGUAAACCUCUUUCAGCAGGGAAGAAGCGAAAGUGACGGUACCUGCAGAAGAAGCGCCGGCUAACUACGUGCCAGCAGCCGCGGUAAUACGUAGGGCGCAAGCGUUGUCCGGAAUUAUUGGGCGUAAAGAGCUCGUAGGCGGCUUGUCACGUCGGGUGUGAAAGCCCGGGGCUUAACCCCGGGUCUGCAUUCGAUACGGGCUAGCUAGAGUGUGGUAGGGGAGAUCGGAAUUCCUGGUGUAGCGGUGAAAUGCGCAGAUAUCAGGAGGAACACCGGUGGCGAAGGCGGAUCUCUGGGCCAUUACUGACGCUGAGGAGCGAAAGCGUGGGGAGCGAACAGGAUUAGAUACCCUGGUAGUCCACGCCGUAAACGGUGGGAACUAGGUGUUGGCGACAUUCCACGUCGUCGGUGCCGCAGCUAACGCAUUAAGUUCCCCGCCUGGGGAGUACGG